CGCUCAUUCGGUUGGGCGAGUAAAGCAGCGAUGCGCUUAGGGAUGGGCCUGCGGCGGAUUAGGUAGUUGGUGGGGUAACGGCCUACCAAGCCGAUGAUCCGUAGGGGGCGUGAGAGCGUGGCCCCCCACACUGGCACUGAGACACGGGCCAGACUCCUACGGGAGGCAGCAGUGAGGAAUAUUGCACAAUGGGCGCAAGCCUGAUGCAGCAACGCCGCGUGAGGGACGAAGGCCUUCGGGUUGUAAACCUCUUUUCUGAGGGACGAGGAAGGACGGUACCUCAGGAAUAAGUCUCGGCUAACUACGUGCCAGCAGCCGCGGUAAAACGUAGGAGGCGAGCGUUAUCCGGAUUUACUGGGCGUAAAGCGCGCGCAGGUGGCUUCGUGAGUCGGACAUGAAAGCUCCUGGCUUAACUGGGAGAGGCUGUUCGAUACUGCGGGGCUUGAGGUUGGGAGAGGGACGCGGAAUUCCCGGUGUAGUGGUGGAAUGCGUAGAUAUCGGGAGGAACACCAGUGGCGCAAGCGGCGUCCUGGCCCACACCUGACGCUGAGGUGCGAAAGCGUGGGUAGCAAACAGGAUUAGAUACCCUGGUAGUCCACGCUGUAAACGAUGUCAACUGGGUGUCGGUAGUUUUACACUAUCGGUGCCGAAGCUAACGCG
RNAcentral lists this ribosomal RNA (660 nucleotides) under uncultured bacterium. Its description in RNAcentral is "bacterial SSU rRNA". It matches the Rfam family "Bacterial small subunit ribosomal RNA", at positions 180 to 859 of the family's 1533-position model. The record is from RNAcentral.